This 297-nucleotide ribosomal RNA is filed under the name uncultured Synechococcus sp. Its description in RNAcentral is "partial 16S ribosomal RNA". It matches the Rfam family "Bacterial small subunit ribosomal RNA", at positions 1239 to 1533 of the family's 1533-position model. The record is from RNAcentral. Lineage: Bacteria; Bacillati; Cyanobacteriota; Cyanophyceae; Synechococcales; Synechococcaceae.
ACAAAGAGCAGCAAGUUCGCGAGGACAAGCAAAUCUCAUAAACCGUGGCUCAGUUCAGAUCGUAGGCUGCAACUCGCCUACGUGAAGGAGGAAUCGCUAGUAAACGCAGGUCAGCAUACUGCGGUGAAUACGUUCCCGGGCCUUGUACACACCGCCCGUCACACCAUGGAAGUUGGCCACGCCCGAAGCCGUUACUCCAACCCUUGUGGAGGAGGACGUCGAAGGUGGGGCUGAUGACUGGGGUGAAGUCGUAACAAGGUAGCCGUACCGGAAGGUGCGGCUGGGUCACCUCCUAAC